GACGAACGCUGGCGGCGUGCCUAAUACAUGCAAGUAGAACGCUGAAGGAGGAGCUUGCUUCUCUGGAUGAGUUGCGAACGGGUGAGUAACGCGUAGGUAACCUGCCUGGUAGCGGGGGAUAACUAUUGGAAACGAUAGCUAAUACCGCAUAAUAGUAGAUGUCGCAUGACAUUUGCUUAAAAGGUGCAAUUUCAUCACUACCAGAUGGACCUGCGUUGUAUUAGCUAGUUGGUGAGGUAACGGCUCACCAAGGCAACGAUACAUAGCCGACCUGAGAGGGCGAUCGGCCACACUGGGACUGAGACACGGCCCAGACUCCUACGGGAGGCAGCAGUAGGGAAACGUCGGCAAUGGACGGAAGUCUGACCGAGCAACGCCGCGUGAGGGAAGAAGGUUUUCGGAUCGUAAAGCUCUGUUGUAAGAGAAGAAAGAGUGUGAGAGUGGAAAGUUCACACUGUGACGGUAGCUUACCAGAAAGGGACGGCUAACUACGUG
This 495-nucleotide ribosomal RNA is filed under the name uncultured bacterium. RNAcentral's name for it is "partial 16S ribosomal RNA". It matches the Rfam family "Bacterial small subunit ribosomal RNA", at positions 28 to 507 of the family's 1533-position model. The record is from RNAcentral.